This 255-nucleotide ribosomal RNA is filed under the name uncultured bacterium. RNAcentral's name for it is "partial 16S ribosomal RNA". It matches the Rfam family "Bacterial small subunit ribosomal RNA", at positions 524 to 776 of the family's 1533-position model. The record is from RNAcentral.
UACGGAGGGUGCAAGCGUUAUCCGGAUUCACUGGGUUUAAAGGGUGCGUAGGUGGGUUAGUAAGUCAGUGGUGAAAUCUUCGAGCUUAACUCGGAAACUGCCAUUGAUACUAUUAGUCUUGAAUAUUGUGGAGGUUAGCGGAAUAUGUCAUGUAGCGGUGAAAUGCUUAGAUAUGACAUAGAACACCAAUUGCGAAGGCAGCUGGCUACACAUAUAUUGACACUGAGGCACGAAAAGCGUGGGGAUCAAAACAGG